GCAGAGUCAGACUACUGGUUUUUCUAGCUGUAUUCUGACAAGCAGUGGCUUCCCAAGGUCUCCUUCACAAGCCUUUCCCAUCAUCAUGUACCUGGCCAUUUAGGUAUUCAAAACGAGAGCUACCUGGACAGUAAGCUGUAUGUCCCCCACAUCAGUCUUCCUUUGUAUAGUCUGCCCUGUAGUAGAGGCUGUUAAGUUAGUGUUAUUGUGUUAGCCCAGGAUAUUUUGCUGCAUGAAGCUGAGUCCAAAUGGUGCCUCUCCUAUUAGGGCUAACACUUUGCAAAGUCUUGCUGCACCAUUCAGGCAGUGGAUCCUGCCUGGAUCUUUGACUUGCCACUACUGCCACAGUGCUGUCUGAGAUAGGUUACUUCACCUUUCUGCAUAACACGGCCUGCCCCUGAGCCUUCAUGUUCUCCAUCUCAAGAAAUAAAAAAUACCCCUCUCAGACUUUACUACCCAUCAGGGUUUUUUUGAUAACACAUGUAUUAUAUUUCAGCUAUGCGUGUUUGAAGAAAUGUAGCAUCUUUGACAACUGUUAGUGAGGAUGAAACACCUUUAUAUAUAGAUAAUAACUGAGCAAUGCUACAAGAGGGGGGAAUUGUGUUUCCUGACAAUUUUUGAUGUGGAUAUGCAAGUGAAGUUCUAAAGAGCUCUUGUUUUCCGUUGUGAUUAGUCAUCACACUUUCCUUUCUCAUAUAAAUGCAGAGGUUGAGCAUUACUCAUAGUACAGAAAUUGGAACUGGUUUGACAGUAAAUUCAUCUCUCUCUCUCUCUCUCUCUAUAUAUAUUAACCAAAACUUUGUAGGUUUCUGGCAGCCAUUAAAUAGCAUUGUCUGUAUAAAAGAAAAUGCAUAUCUAGGAGUGAGGGUAGAAGAAAAUAAAUCCAAAUUUCUGUAAAUCUUAUUUAUUUAUCCCCUGCAUUUCCAAAGUGGCAAACGAUACAUAGGCCUAGUUUGCAUGACCCGCUAUGUCUCCUUUUACAUAAUGGGGCCACACAGAUGUGCAGGCUCCUGGAAGGGAGCUCAUAGAAACUUUGCUCCCCCCCCCAUCCUUUUUCUUUUUCAUUUUUUUAUUAUUUCACACACAAAAAAGAAAUAUAGAAAUAAACAAAUAUCCAUCACCUCCUAGCAACU
Podarcis lilfordi (Lilford's wall lizard) is the source of this 1133-nucleotide non-coding RNA. The record is from the annotation of a GenBank genome assembly. Lineage: Eukaryota; Metazoa; Chordata; Lepidosauria; Squamata; Lacertidae.